This 156-nucleotide ribosomal RNA is filed under the name Pelobates cultripes (western spadefoot toad). Its description in RNAcentral is "LSU_rRNA_bacteria". It matches the Rfam family "Eukaryotic large subunit ribosomal RNA", at positions 3007 to 3164 of the family's 3401-position model. The record is from RNAcentral. Lineage: Eukaryota; Metazoa; Chordata; Amphibia; Anura; Pelobatidae.
GUUGUCGCAAUAGUAAUCCUGAUCAAUAUGAGAGGAACCACGGGUUCAGACAUUUGGUGUAUGUGCUUGGCUGAGAAGCCAAUGGGUGAAGCUACCAUCUGUGGGAUUAUGACUGAAUACCUUUAAGUCAGAAUCCCCCCUAAAAGUGACGAUAUC